RNAcentral lists this ribosomal RNA (735 nucleotides) under Apilactobacillus kunkeei. RNAcentral's name for it is "bacterial SSU rRNA". It matches the Rfam family "Bacterial small subunit ribosomal RNA", at positions 668 to 1403 of the family's 1533-position model. The record is from RNAcentral. Lineage: Bacteria; Bacillati; Bacillota; Bacilli; Lactobacillales; Lactobacillaceae.
UCCAUGUGUAGCGGUGAAAUGCGUAGAUAUAUGGAAGAACACCAGUGGCGAAGGCGGCUUUCUGGUCUGUUACUGACGCUGAGGCUCGAAAGCAUGGGUAGCGAACAGGAUUAGAUACCCUGGUAGUCCAUGCCGUAAACGAUGAAUACUAGGUGUUGGAGGGUUUCCGCCCUUCAGUGCCGCAGCUAACGCAUUAAGUAUUCCGCCUGGGGAGUACGACCGCAAGGUUGAAACUCAAAGGAAUUGACGGGGGCCCGCACAAGUGGUGGAGCAUGUGGUUUAAUUCGAUGCUACGCGAAGAACCUUACCAGCUCUUGACAUCUUCUGCCAACCCAAGAGAUUGGGCGUUCCCUUCGGGGACAGAAUGACAGGUGGUGCAUGGUUGUCGUCAGCUCGUGUCGUGAGAUGUUGGGUUAAGUCCCGCAACGAGCGCAACCCUUAUUAUUAGUUGCCAGCAUUUAGUUGGGCACUCUAGUGAGACUGCCGGUGAUAAACCGGAGGAAGGUGGGGACGACGUCAAAUCAUCAUGCCCCUUAUGAGCUGGGCUACACACGUGCUACAAUGGAUGGUACAACGAGUCGCGAAACCGCGAGGUCAAGCUAAUCUCUUAAAGCCAUUCUCAGUUCGGAUUGCAGGCUGCAACUCGCCUGCAUGAAGUUGGAAUCACUAGUAAUCGUGGAUCAGCAUGCCACGGUGAAUACGUUCCCGGGCCUUGUACACACCGCCCGUCACACC